UUUCUUCAAUGAUAUGAAAAUAAAAUAAAAUAAAAAACAAUACAAGAAUGGGUCAUGUUUUAAAGAUAUUUAAAUAGCUUUGAAUGCAAUUUUAUCAUUCAAAGUAAGUCAUGUUGGCAAUGAAAACAAGUAAAAAAAGAAUAAGCAAAGAAUACUCAAACAUCGAACUUUAUGAGAGAUGAUUUAGAAUCAAUUGCUUGGACUAAGAGUAUAGAAAUGAGAGGGGCAGUUGUGCUACAUGGACGCAGACAAAACACAUUGAUUGCCUAUCGUUAUUGUUUUAAUUCAGAGUAGAUAACAAAUAAAUCAUUUCUUAUAGUUCCAUAAG
This 328-nucleotide long non-coding RNA is filed under the name Physcomitrium patens. Its description in RNAcentral is "long non-coding RNA (PPAT_LNC005125)". The record is from RNAcentral. Lineage: Eukaryota; Viridiplantae; Streptophyta; Bryopsida; Funariales; Funariaceae.